CGUAGGUGAACCUGCGGAAGGAUCAUUACAAAUCCUAGCCAUUGCCGUUGGCAAUGGUGAAAACACCGUGCACUGGCGACCGGAGAUGGGAGAAUGGCGUGUGAGGUGUGCAUCCGGCGUUCGAGCGGGUGAUGCACUUAAAUCGGUAGGAAUCAAUGCACCCACCGCCUGCUGGGCCUCGCAAGCUCUCUCUCAUCUUUGGUUUUUUUUACACCUUUGCAACUUGUAUGAUUUUGGUGUGUGCGUACGUUGAAACGAAAUUGACAACUUCUGACGGUGGAUCUCUUGGCUCGUGCAUCGAUGAAGAACGCAGCAAGCUGCGAUACCUAGUGUGAAUUGCAGAAUUCAGUGAAUCAUCGAGUCUUUGAACGCAAAUGGCGCUCCCGGGGUCUCCUCGGGAGCAGGUCUGUCCGAGCGUCUGCCAACCAAACCGGUUGUUCCGCACCGAUUGCGUGACAAGAGUGAGGAGCUGUGGGGCCACACCCUGCACUCCUUGAAAUAUGGGGCAAGCGUGGCUUGGACACCGGACGAGGCCGGUCUCCGGACAGGACAGUCGUCACAACGGUACAAUAAGUUGUUUCGGUGUCUCUGUUCUCGGGACGCGAGGCCUGUCGGUGUACCAAUCGGCCAGCGUCAGGAUACA
Molecule: unclassified non-coding RNA, 643 nt
Filed under: Hyrtios erectus
Lineage: Eukaryota; Metazoa; Porifera; Demospongiae; Dictyoceratida; Thorectidae
Description: sequence contains ITS1, 5.8S rRNA gene, ITS2
Rfam family: 5.8S ribosomal RNA (bases 266-420)
Source: RNAcentral